GCUUUUGGUUCAGUGGUAGAAUACUCGCCUGCCACGCGGGCGCCCAGGGUUCAAUUCCCGGCCGAUGCA
This 69-nucleotide transfer RNA is filed under the name Cordylochernes scorpioides. Its description in RNAcentral is "tRNA-Gly". It matches the Rfam family "tRNA". From Rfam's summary of the family: Transfer RNA (tRNA) molecules are approximately 80 nucleotides in length. Lineage: Eukaryota; Metazoa; Arthropoda; Arachnida; Pseudoscorpiones; Chernetidae. The record is from RNAcentral.